AUGUGGCAGCUCGGCCCUCAGGGUCCCCCAGGUCCCCCCGGCCCUCCCGGCCCCCCUGGACCCCAGGGUGUUAAUGGGAUCCAAGGCCCUCAGGACUAUGUUGGACCGCGGCAGCCACUUCAGGAUUCCACAGACAUAGAUGAGGGAUGUGAAGGGGGCUGCUCCAAGGGGUUGCCAGGGGUACCAGGCAUGGCUGGGGCCAAGGGUGAGAAAGGAGACCAAGGCAAGCCUGGUGCAACCCUUUUGGACAGCUGUGACAGGUGUUUAGAGAGGCUGCAAAAGGAACCAGCCACGCAAGCAGUGGGAGAUCGGUCCUACACAGGAACACCUGGACAUCCGGGGGUGCCCGGAUCACCUGGAAUCAAAGGCGAUCCUGGUGCACCAGGAGAAAGAGGUCCAGCUGGAACUCCAGGAUUCAUGGUGUGUGAGAAAGAGAAACCUCAAGUAGAAAUCAGACGUUGUUUUGUUUGUGGACUUCCUCUCUUCCAUUCAGGGUCAAAGUUCAGCCUCGAACACCCUCGGUAA
RNAcentral lists this long non-coding RNA (525 nucleotides) under Nothobranchius furzeri (turquoise killifish). Its description in RNAcentral is "lncRNA (ENSNFUG00015006328.1)". Lineage: Eukaryota; Metazoa; Chordata; Actinopteri; Cyprinodontiformes; Nothobranchiidae. The record is from RNAcentral.